CCUACGGGAGGCAGCAGUGAGGAAUAUUGGUCAAUGGAGGCAACUCUGAACCAGCCAAGUAGCGUGCAGGAUGACGGCCCUAUGGGUUGUAAACUGCUUUUAUGCGGGGAUAACCUGCGUCACGUGUGGCUUAUUGCAGGUACCGCAUGAAUAAGGACCGGCUAAUUCCGUGCCAGCAGCCGCGGUAAUACGGAAGGGCCGGGCGUUAUCCGGAUUUAUUGGGGUUAAAGGGAGCGCAGGCCGCCCCUUAAGCGUGGUGUGAAAUGCCGCGGCCCAACCGGGGCACUGCAGUGCGAACUGGAGGGCUGGAGUGCACAGCAGGCAGGCGGAAGUCGGGGUGUAGCGGUGAAAUGCAUAGAUAUCACGAGGAACCCCGAUUGCGAAGGCAGCCUGCCGUGGUGCGACUGACGCUGAGGCUCGAAGGUGCGGGUAUCAAACAGGAUUAGAUACCCGAGUAGUC
Molecule: ribosomal RNA, 460 nt
Filed under: uncultured bacterium
Lineage: Bacteria
Description: partial 16S ribosomal RNA
Rfam family: Bacterial small subunit ribosomal RNA
Source: RNAcentral